CCGAGAAACUUAACUCUCCUU
This 21-nucleotide small nuclear RNA is filed under the name Arabidopsis thaliana (thale cress). Its description in RNAcentral is "snRNA_09947". Lineage: Eukaryota; Viridiplantae; Streptophyta; Magnoliopsida; Brassicales; Brassicaceae. The record is from RNAcentral.